Drosophila innubila is the source of this 589-nucleotide long non-coding RNA. RefSeq lists it as uncharacterized. The record is from RefSeq and is a predicted model, not a curated record. Lineage: Eukaryota; Metazoa; Arthropoda; Insecta; Diptera; Drosophilidae. The transcript has 2 exons.
GUACAUAUAUUUUUGUAGAAUAAUUUCAAGUUAUCUCACAGUUAAAUAGGAAAAAUUAAUUGCCACAGUUGCAAUUGAGAAGAUUUAAUUUUGGAUGCAAAUAAGAUAUGACAGGCAGCAGCACGUAUCAGUUUAUAAACUGAUUUUAUAACAGAGAAGUGUGUAUAAAUUUGCCAUUGAACAUUGCACAGCAUACAGGCAACUUGUAGAAAGCGCUGUGGAGCAGAAGUAUGAGAGUACGAGAGUUCAAUGAACUCAUCACAGGUCCACUAAGAUUUUCGUGCCAUGGCGAGGGAAGAUAGCAAAGUUACAUCAACAGUCUGAAGCAAUAAUGACAACGAGCACAACUUCAAGAGCAGUCAAUCAAAAUAUGCCCCCUUGAUACUCCCCCUUGCGAUAAAGUGCCUCCUCGGUGAACUCUAAGCACUGACAACGACUCGCCAUCGACAUCGACAUCACGUUGCUCCCAGUAUAAAUUUCAAUAUCUUACGAGCAUGUGCUUGCUCGCUUUCGGCUUUAUCUUUUUAUCUCUUUUAAUCUUUUUAUACCCUGUGAACAUAUAAAACAAAAUAAAAAGUGGGUAUUUUAA